Molecule: transfer RNA, 73 nt
Filed under: Apaloderma vittatum (bar-tailed trogon)
Lineage: Eukaryota; Metazoa; Chordata; Aves; Trogoniformes; Trogonidae
Rfam family: tRNA
About the family: Transfer RNA (tRNA) molecules are approximately 80 nucleotides in length. Their secondary structure includes four short double-helical elements and three loops (D, anti-codon, and T loops). Further hydrogen bonds mediate the characteristic L-shaped molecular structure. tRNAs have two regions of fundamental functional importance: the anti-codon, which is responsible for specific mRNA codon recognition, and the 3' end, to which the tRNAs corresponding amino acid is attached (by aminoacyl-tRNA synthetases). tRNAs cope with the degeneracy of the genetic code in two manners: having more than one tRNA (with a specific anti-codon) for a particular amino acid; and 'wobble' base-pairing, i.e. permitting non-standard base-pairing at the 3rd anti-codon position.
Source: Rfam by way of RNAcentral
GGUCGGUUAGCUCAGACAGUUGAGUGUGGCGCUAACAACGCCAAGAUCAUGGGUUCAAUUCCCGUUCAGUCCC